Molecule: long non-coding RNA, 2253 nt
Organism: Liolophura sinensis
Lineage: Eukaryota; Metazoa; Mollusca; Polyplacophora; Chitonida; Chitonidae
Exons: 7
Source: RefSeq, a predicted model, not a curated record
UCUCCAUCCUUCCCUCUCCCCCCACAUCGUCAUGAAAUCAGUCUGUCAUUUCCUUAUACGAUCCACUCGUUUCUGUUUACAGGCAACACGCGCACAAUUCGACAUCCAGUUCCGCUUGACAGAGGUACCAACAUUUACGAAGACCCAGCUGAUUUGAUGGGUGAAGAUCAACCGAGGGUACAGAGGAGAUUUUGCAUUUCCAGUCCUGAACUGAAGACUGCAAAAACUGAAGAUUAUCCUAGUCCGAUUAAGGGCUCUUCGGGCAAGCUGGAAAAUCUGGUUGACGAUAAGAAUCCGUAUGAGCUACCGUUCCCUUCCGCUCCCAAACGACACACUUAUUAAUGUCUCAAGGCUUCUCGUUAAAAAUAGCGUUGUGAUCAGAAAAAAAAAACAAAAAAUAGACACUUAGUUUGCUUUUGUACUAUUGAUAUUUCGAAUUUUACAUUAAUGUUUAAGCUUUACAAUCAUUCGAUACUAUAUGUGCUUUGGAUCAGAACCAAGUCUUUUCCCACCACAGACCUAGUAAAUGCAAUCCUUUAACGACAUGUGUGAUUUUUCCUUGUUUGAUUUUUUAAUAGAAUUCGACAUGCAUGUAGUAAAACGUAAUAUGAAUUGUCUUGCCUAAGUAGUGUACGGAGCAAUUGACAUCGGAUACAGUCACCCAUUAAUGAUAGUGUAGUGGCGCCAUAACACAGUGGCGACCACAACAGGCGAUUGGCUACAGAAACCCGGAAGCUGAAAAUGGUAAUUGAUAGCUCUAUGGGUUUGAUUUCAUAAGUCUGUUCAUACAAGCAGUGUGUCUUUGAUUACCACUGACUUGGCCAUCUUUUAUUUUUCAUUUCCGCGAUGGUCGUGCUGUUCAUUUGUGGUAUUAUUAUCAACCACUCCCAAUAAUAAUCCAAGGAAUGAAAAAAUGAAAAGAAAAGAAAAGAUUUUUGGUGUAAGCUAAGCCUUUUUAGCAGCUCGGGAUAAGCAGCUCUGUGGAUGGACGAAGUUGUUGUCCUUGUGAAGUUCUUCUUUCAUAAUGCUUUAGUGAUAUGUAUAUAUAUAUAUGUAUAUCAAAGUAUGAGACCGCUUUACACGCGAUUGCAAACCAGGGACAAGAAAAAAGGUGCAGAGAAGCAUGCGCAUUUCAAAACUGCUACCCACGAUCGAGAACAUGAACAACGCCAUCUCGAACAACAACAACAACAACAACGAUUGUCUUUUCUCCCAUAGAACUGUUUGUUACAGCUGACAUAACCCGGUGAUGGUACGUUUCUUCUUCCUCCACAUUCUUGUGUCAUUACGGUUACCGCCAUUGUGGAAUAAAGGUGGAAAAUGUUGAAUUAAGCCGUUGCUGAUUAUAUUUCAUUGGUUUCAUAUGUUUUGAAAAACCAGAUAGUAAUAAAACUUUGAAUUUAUUAUUUGUCCAUUGUACGGCGUUCCCAUUCUCGUCGUCAUUUAAAAAAAAACGCCAAGAAUGCAUGAAAAAGUUAAACUUUGGAUUCCUACAAAUUUUGAUUUGCUACAAGUCUUGCUGACGUACCAAAUUAAGGCUAUAACUACCAUGUUAGCGUAGGCCUAUAUUAUUAGGCAUAUCUAUAUGACGACUUUCCGAAGGUAUACGGGUAGAUAUUUGGCUAAGGUCGACAGCCAAACCGUGAAGAGCACUUUUGAGACGUAAAACUGAGGACGAUUGACGCUUUUGACGCCAGACCGGUUGCUUUCGCGGAUUUCUCUCGUUUUUUUGACCUCAAGCCAAGGCAUCCAGACAGAGGCUGGUGAAACAGGACAUUUCCCUACUUUUUGCUGGUGUGUAUCAGCCAUCAUUCUCUGAAAAACACACAAAUUUAUACCUAGAAUGAAACUUUGAAGCCUCUGAUACAAAAUGAUACAACUUAACAAGCGGAAAAAAAGAAAAGGGGCAGCCCAAGGAGCAAAAGAAAACAUAUUGAAAAUAGCAGGGGACUACAUUCGACCCGGAAGCAUUAAAUAGGACUGUAGCACGAGAGGCCUUGAACCCAGAGGUAUAUGGAAACUGAUAUACCCCCGGUUUUGUAAGUGUGGAAUUUCAACCAUCAGUACAGUUCAUGGUCUAUUACCCGUUACCUACAUUAUAUCAUGACUUGCCCAUAACUACAUCUGAAGUACCAUCAAACUGCCAGGCCUAGCAGUAGUUAUUUUUUAUACUGACUUACCUUUAACAACAUGUCACAAAUGUACUACAGGUAAUGUGCUCAGGCUAAGUAUAUAUCUAUAUAUAUAUAUAUA